AUGGUGUGCGGGUGGAAAGAUUUUUCGGUUGGGGAUGGGCUCGCGGCCUAUCAGCUUGUUGGUGAGGUAAUGGCUCACCAAGGCGUCGACGGGUAGCCGGCCUGAGAGGGUGACCGGCCACACUGGGACUGAGACACGGCCCAGACUCCUACGGGAGGCAGCAGUGGGGAAUAUUGCACAAUGGGCGGAAGCCUGAUGCAGCAACGCCGCGUGAGGGAUGACGGCCUUCGGGUUGUAAACCUCUUUUAGCAGGGAAGAAGCGAGAGUGACGGUACCUGCAGAAAAAGCACCGGCUAACUACGUGCCAGCAGCCGCGGUAAUACGUAGGGUGCAAGCGUUAUCCGGAAUUAUUGGGCGUAAAGAGCUCGUAGGCGGUCUGUCGCGUCUGCUGUGAAAUUCCGAGGCUCAACCUCGGGCUUGCAGUGGGUACGGGCAGACUAGAGUGCGGUAGGGGAGAUUGGAAUUCCUGGUGUAGCGGUGGAAUGCGCAGAUAUCAGGAGGAACACCGAUGGCGAAGGCAGAUCUCUGGGCCGUAACUGACGCUGAGGAGCGAAAGGGUGGGGAGCAAACAGGCUUAGAUACCCUGGUAGUCCACCCCGUAAACGUUGGGAACUAGUUGUGGGGUCCUUUCCACGGAUUCCGUGACGCAGCUAACGCAUUAAGUUCCCCGCCUGGGGAGUACGGCCGCAAGGCUAAAACUCAAAGGAAUUGACGGGGACCCGCACAAGCGGCGGAGCAUGCGGAUUAAUUCGAUGCAACGCGAAGAACCUUACCAAGGCUUGACAUACACGAGAACGGGCCAGAAAUGGUCAACUCUUUGGACACUCGUGAACAGGUGGUGCAUGGUUGUCGUCAGCUCGUGUCGUGAGAUGUUGGGUUAAGUCCCGCAACGAGCGCAACCCUCGUUCUAUGUUGCCAGCACGUAAUGGUGGGAACUCAUGGGAUACUGCCGGGGUCAACUCGGAGGAAGGUGGGGAUGACGUCAAAUCAUCAUGCCCCUUAUGUCUUGGGCUUCACGCAUGCUACAAUGGCCGGUACAAUGGGCUGCGAUACCGUAAGGUGGAGCGAAUCCCAAAAAGCCGGUCCCAGUUCGGAUUGAGGUCUGCAA
RNAcentral lists this ribosomal RNA (1108 nucleotides) under Microbacterium sp. XSW002. Its description in RNAcentral is "bacterial SSU rRNA". It matches the Rfam family "Bacterial small subunit ribosomal RNA", at positions 188 to 1310 of the family's 1533-position model. The record is from RNAcentral. Lineage: Bacteria; Bacillati; Actinomycetota; Actinomycetes; Micrococcales; Microbacteriaceae.